GGAGGAGUAGCGAAGUGGCUAAACGCGACGGACUGUAAAUCCGUUCCUUAGGGUUCAGUGGUUCGAAUCCACUCUCCACCA
This 81-nucleotide transfer RNA is filed under the name Enterococcus faecium. Its description in RNAcentral is "tRNA-Tyr". It matches the Rfam family "tRNA". Rfam says of the family: Transfer RNA (tRNA) molecules are approximately 80 nucleotides in length. Their secondary structure includes four short double-helical elements and three loops (D, anti-codon, and T loops). Lineage: Bacteria; Bacillati; Bacillota; Bacilli; Lactobacillales; Enterococcaceae. The record is from RNAcentral.